CAGCUGACCCUUAUCCAACAUGGUUGGAACUGUUUGAGUCCACUUAUAAGUAGGUUUUCUUCCAUCUUUGCCACUCCGGAGACAAUAAGACCAACCCCUCCUCUUCUUCCUCCUCAGCCUACUCAACAUGAAGAUGAAGAGCAUGAAGACCUUUAUGAUGAUCCACUUCCAUUUAGUGAAUGGAAUCGGGCCAAUUAGUAGGAUUAUUGCAAAGACCAGACAUUUAUCAGGACCCUUUUGCAGAAACACAUGUGGGGCUGUAAGCGAUGCAUUUCCUGGCUUCUGACAUGAGCUAAACAUCUGUUCAAGGCAAGGCUGUAAUGAAACUGUCCCAAGGCAUCUGAGAGUGGAGAGUGAUUGGACUCCGGUGAAGACUCCAAGAUGGCGAUCGUCACCUCGGAUACCCUGACUCAGCAUUUCCGGGUUCACCUUUCCUGUUCCCGCCACCCCGACUAACGCGCAUACCCACUAGGGCGUGUCACACUGAGAAGUGCGAAACUCAACCGACCCCGCCCCUACCCCGCCCACUCCUCACCCAGCAUCCAUAAAAGCGCGCUGCCCCUUUGGCACAGCGCGACUUCCCUGGCCCUCACCCUGCGGACCAGUGAACGUCGCCCGAGAGCUCAAUAAAGAAG
Molecule: long non-coding RNA, 635 nt
Organism: Gorilla gorilla gorilla (western lowland gorilla)
Lineage: Eukaryota; Metazoa; Chordata; Mammalia; Primates; Hominidae
Exons: 3
Source: RefSeq, a predicted model, not a curated record